RNAcentral lists this long non-coding RNA (206 nucleotides) under Olea europaea (common olive). RNAcentral describes it as "long non-coding RNA (OEUR_LNC001973)". Lineage: Eukaryota; Viridiplantae; Streptophyta; Magnoliopsida; Lamiales; Oleaceae. The record is from RNAcentral.
GGAAUCAAAGGUAGCGAGUAGCUUUGAACCAGUUAUUCCAUAUGACAAUACCGGUAAGAACACACACAUGAGUACCACGUGUUCUCAAGUUCCUCAUAACUCGCUUAACGCUUUUUAUGGCCUUGCGCUUAUCAUUUUCAACAAUCUUUUAAGAGAGAAACUCCAACUCUCUAUUAAGGCGGCACCACCUUGAAGAUUGUUUAGGU